AAUUUACUUUGAUUUUUCUUUGGGCGAACAGUCCAUCUUCUCUGCAUAAUUUUUAUAUUAAUUUCUUUGGAUAAAGUAUACAGUCUCAGAACAACGAUGCAAGCCUUGAGAAGCUUUUAUAUGUGCUUGUUCUUCUUAUUCUCCCUCCUACGAAUCUCAGCUGCAACUGCACUGGGCACAACAAUCACUCCGAGUGGAUAUAUAAGAGAUGGCGAAACUCUGGUUUCAGUAGGUGGAAGCUAUGAACUGGGAUUCUUCAGCCCUGGUAAAUCGAAAAGCCGGUACGUGGGAAUAUGGUACACUGAUUCUACUGAUGCAGUUGUGUGGGUAGCCAACAGAGAAACACCACUUGGUGAUUCUUCAGGACUUUUGAUGCUCACCGAGCAAGGAGUUCUAGUCCUCCUUGUCAAUAGCUCAAACAAGAUUGUGUGGUCAUCGAAUUCAUCAAGAAUCGCCGGGAAUCCAGUAUCGCAACUCUUGGAUUCUGGAAAUCUUGUGGUGCAAGAUGGGAACGAAACUAACCCGGAUAACUUCUUGUGGCAGAGUUUUGAUUAUCCUUGUGACACAUACCUACCGGAAAUGAAGCUUGGUUGGGACUUGGUUACCGGUUUAGAGAGGUAUCUCUCGUCUUGGAAGAGCACAGAAGAUCCUGCUCCAGGAGAGUUUUCGGCACGAAUUGAUUAUCGUGGCUUACCACAACUUUUUGUUAUGAAAAGAGCUAAGAAAGUUGGUAGAGGAGGGUCAUGGAAUGGUCUUCAUUUAACAGGAUUUUCAUCUGGACAACCAAACCCAAUAUCUAGGAUUGAAUUUGUGUGGAACAAGGAUGAAGUCUACUGUCAGUUUAGGCUCCUAAACAGGUCGGUGUUCCAGAGAUUAGUAUUGAGCCCAUUAGGCGUUUCGCUGCUGUUCACAUGGGAGUAUCAAACACAUAGUUGGGAAUUUGCCUCUACACUCCAAGAAGAUCGGUGUGAAAGUUACGCCUUGUGUGGUGCAUAUACUAUUUGCAAAAUCAAUAACUCUCCCAUAUGUGUAUGCCUGAAGGGAUUUGUACCAAAAUCUCCACAAGAUUGGAAUUCGGGAAAUUGGUCUGAUGGGUGUGUUCGUAUGACUCCAUUGGCCUGCAGCCAUGGUGAUGGCUUCCUAACGUACAGUGGGGUUAAAUUGCCAGACACAUCUUCGUCUUGGUAUGAUAAAAGCAUGAGCCUCGAGCAAUGCAAGGGAUUAUGUCUGGGAAACUGCUCAUGUACGGCGUAUACAAAUCUAGAUGUCAGGGAGGGAGGAACUGGCUGCUUGCUUUGGUUUGAUAACGUCAUUGACAUAAGAGAAUUCACUCUCGGUCAGGAUCUCUAUACGGAUGGCAGCAUCAGAACUAGAUCAUGUUAAGAAAAAGAGCAAUUUCAACAAGAGACAGCUACUUGCAAUUCUCCUCAGCUCUGCAGUUUUUCUCAUGGGAAUGCUAAUAGUUGGAAUAAUAUUGUACAUCCGGAAGAAGAAACUCAAAAAUGAAGGACUCAGAACAAAGGAUUGCGGAGAAGAGUACCCUGGAGAAGACGGGGAAGACAUGGAGUUACCACUGUUUGACUUGACCACCAUAGCUAAAGCCACCAACGGCUUUUCAAACUGCAACAAGCUGGGAGAAGGUGGCUUUGGACCUGUGUACAAGGGUACACUGAUAGGAGGAAA
Malus domestica (apple) is the source of this 1683-nucleotide non-coding RNA. NCBI's taxonomy places the organism in Eukaryota, Viridiplantae, Streptophyta, Magnoliopsida, Rosales, Rosaceae. The record is from RefSeq and is a predicted model, not a curated record.